Non-coding RNA from Delphinapterus leucas (beluga whale), 1589 nucleotides. The record is from RefSeq and is a predicted model, not a curated record. NCBI's taxonomy places the organism in Eukaryota, Metazoa, Chordata, Mammalia, Artiodactyla, Monodontidae.
CAGCGAGCGGCAGGGUUACCAGGGGAACCGAGCCGCCGCGUCUCAACGGGUCCCAGACGCUUAGAGGCCCUGUGAUGCGUGAUACUGGGAUGGGCUGGGGAUGCAGGGAUUUAACAGCUGUGGAGUUCCCCAGAGCCCCUUUAGCUCUGCAUUAGAGCAUCAUCAUCAUGUCGAGCUGCCUCUUCCUCCUGAAGGCACUUCUUGCUCUUGGGUCCGUGGCAUCCUGGGUGACUGCAGGAGAGCAUGUUCUUGACUUUGUCUUCAUACUGGGUGCCUCCUGGUUACAAGAAGGCUGCUCUGAUUCCUUGUCUGUCUUUGGACUGGAAGAAGAAGGAAAUGAGAGGGCAGUUUGACAGCUGUAUUCCCUGAACCAACAAUGCAAAAGUUUUCCCAGCUUAUAUCUUAGUUUGUGGUCACCCCUAGUUACAAGGGAAUAUGGGGGAAGCAAAUCAUUUUAGCUGACUGGGCUCACUGCCUCUCAGAACAAGCCUGGGAUUCUAUUCACAAGUGCUUCAGUUAUUUAUUGCCACCUAACAAACCAUCCCCAAACUUAGCGACAUAACGCAGCGCAUUCUUUCUUUUUAUUUUUUCCCCAAAGCCCCAAUCCUGAAGUCAUCAACAUUAACACAGUGCAUUCUUUCUCACAGUUGUGUGGCUUUGUGGGUUGGCUGGGCUUAACCGGGCAGUUCUUAUACCCAGUGGCACAGCUGAGGUCCUUCAUACAGCUGGGAGCUCCUUGGCAAGUUCCACGGUGGCUGGAAUGUCCAGGAUGGCCUCUCCUCCUCCAGGUUCUCUCUCCGGAGGCGUCUCACUAUCCCGCAGCCUAGCCCAAGUGCUUUGCAGCACGGUGGCUGGUUUCCAAGAGGGAGUGUUCAAGCCCCAGUACGCAAGUGUUGCUCAAGCCUCUGCUUGCAUCAUACUUGGCUGGUGUCCUGUUGGUCAAAGCAAGUCAUCCAGUCGAGCCCAGAGACAGUAUGGGAGGGGGCUACCCAAGAGCACGUACUCCAGCAGCCAGCAGUGCUGAUGUCGACCACAAGUUUGGCGGUGAAUGUCCUGCCGACCCCCUUCCGUGUGAAGAGCUGUGUGAUGGGGACGCAUCCUGUCCUCAGGGACAUAAGUGCUGCAGCACCGGCUGUGGCCGUGCCUGCCAUGGAGGCAUUAAGGGAGGGCGGGGUGGUGACUGUCCAAAACUUUUGGCGGGCCUGUGCAUUGUCAGCUGCAUGGUGGAUGAGAACUGCCCAGCUGGGGAAAAGUGCUGCAAGUCAGGCUGUGGCCGUUUCUGUGUCCCACCAAUCCUGCCAGCCCAGCUGGCCCUGAACCCCAACCGGACCAUCAGGUCUAAUUUUGAAUUAGAGAGCCCGGUGCCCUAGCUGUCCUGAUGUGUCCUGAGUUUCUCUGGUGACUCCAGGGGGCUUGUCCUGGUAGCCAGGAGAGGAUGAUGUCCUGGGGCUUGUGACACCCCCAGGGACUGUCAUUGCCCUCUCUGCUCUGUUUCUGUUCUUGCUGCUGCCCUGAGCGUAGGAAACCCAGCCCUGGGCUUGGGCAGUGGGUGUGUGGUGCUUCUUUUCCCCAAUAAAGGCUGAUGCUGA